GAAAUGCGAUAAGUAAUGUGAAUUGCAGAAUUCCGUGAAUCAUCGAAUCUUUGAACGCACAUUGCGCCCUCUGGCAUUCCGGGGGGCAUGCCUGUCCGAGCGUCAUUACGCACCCUCAAGCCCGGCUUGUGUGAUGGGUGCCUGUCCCGCCUCCGCGCGCGGACUCACCUCAAAUCCAUUGGCGGCCCCCGCGUCGGCCACGAGCGCAGCAGAAACGCGAACUCGUGAGCCCGUCCGGGCGGCUCCCAGAAGCUACACCCACCCAGUUUGACCUCGGAUCAGGUAGGGAUACCCGCUGAACUUAAGC
This 307-nucleotide unclassified non-coding RNA is filed under the name plant metagenome. Its description in RNAcentral is "partial contains 5.8S ribosomal RNA, internal transcribed spacer 2, and large subunit ribosomal RNA". The stretch from base 1 to 105 matches the Rfam family "5.8S ribosomal RNA", at positions 50 to 154 of the family's 154-position model. The record is from RNAcentral.